ACAGAGCAGCUAUGUCAACAGAAGGAAAAGAGAUGGAGUGGACCUUCCUGGGAUCCAGGCUGAACAGGGCUCUCCUCACUCUAAGAACAUGAGCCACAUUCAACUUCCACACAUCAUGGUCGUUACAGAAUUCCACAGAUUUGCGGAAGACCUUUUCCACCAUUGGAUAAUUUUCAAGAUUCCAGUAGAUUUUUGCCUGAGCCAUCAACACAGGAAUGUAUUUCUCCAUGGUUUCAUCAUAUUCAUUCACUGCCUUUUUGAUAGCUUCAUCAUCUCUGUUGUGUCUUGCUUCCUGUACUUGCUUGCUGCUCCACCAGGCUCCUGGACCCUGGCAGAUCGCCCUCGCUAUACUUGAUGGCAGCUUGCAGGCGGAGGACCCGGCUGUGGUAGGCGGGGUUAUCCAGGAGAAGGAAGGCGACCCGAGUGGCCUCCGGAUAAAGGCAGGCCUUGUACAGGGCCUGGGCCUGGUACAGGCGGUACUGCUCCAGUUCCGGGUGCAGCUGGCCCAGCUGCUCAUAGCACUCGGCCGCCAGCGCGAACUCCUGCAGGCGGUAGUAGCAGUAGCCUAGCAGCGACAGGCCGGCACGGCU
Homo sapiens (human) is the source of this 590-nucleotide long non-coding RNA. NCBI's taxonomy places the organism in Eukaryota, Metazoa, Chordata, Mammalia, Primates, Hominidae. The record is from Ensembl.